GAUGAACGCUGGCGGCGUGCCUAAUACAUGCAAGUCGAGCGAACGGACGAGAAGCUUGCUUCUCUGAUGUUAGCGGCGGACGGGUGAGUAACACGUGGAUAACCUACCUAUAAGACUGGGAUAACUUCGGGAAACCGGAGCUAAUACCGGAUAAUAUUUUGAACCGCAUGGUUCAAAAGUGAAAGACGGUCUUGCUGUCACUUAUAGAUGGAUCCGCGCUUCAUUAGCUAGUUGGUAAGGUAACGGCUUACCAAGGCAACGAUGCAUAGCCGACCUGAGAGGGUGAUCGGCCACACUGGAACUGAGACACGGUCCAGACUCCUACGGGAGGCAGCAGUAGGGAAUCUUCCGCAAUGGGCGAAAGCCUGAGGGAGCAACGCCGCGUGAGUGAUGAAGGUCUUCGGAUCGUAAAACUCUGUUAUUAGGGAAGAACAUAUGUGUAAGUAACUGUGCACAUCUUGACGGUACCUAAUCAGAAAGCCACGGCUAACUACGUG
This 497-nucleotide ribosomal RNA is filed under the name uncultured bacterium. Its description in RNAcentral is "partial 16S ribosomal RNA". It matches the Rfam family "Bacterial small subunit ribosomal RNA", at positions 28 to 507 of the family's 1533-position model. The record is from RNAcentral.